GGUCAGUCCAGUUUGGCUUCAGGUUCUAUUCUUCAAUACGUCCACUUAAUUCUGGACUCAACUUUCUCACUCUGACAAUUUCAGCCAACAAAUUCCUAGAAUAUGUUAUCUUGCAAAAGAAAGUGACAACUAUGACAUCUCAGUCCUUGAAGAGACCUGGUUAUCUUGCAACUGGACAAGGUUGGAUGCUGAAAACAGAAAGUUGUUUGAAAAUCUUUAGACCACCAGAAGGCCAGCUCCAACUCACCCUGACUACUGCUCUCAUCCUCUACUUAAGCUCAUUUGCUUCAAUCACCUGGCUUAUAUGGAGAAGGACACAAAACAACAUUUGGCGUCACUCAACUCCAGUGAUAAAAGUUAUUCCCCAAACCCCAGCUGAAUGGAUUCUAUUGGUCUGAAGGAUGGACAGAUGAGACUCUAUGUGUGUAUUUUAAUAUAAUGCACAGGAAGACAUGAAUACAUGGAACUACUAAUUCAGCAUUACUUUCAGAAAUGAUAGAAGCAUGUAACAGGGCAAAAAAAUGUGAAGAAAGUGUUUAUGCUGCCAGUAUUGUAAUCACAGUGUAUUCAAGGAACUCCACUGAUGUUUUAUAGAAUCCAGAUUUAUGAAGCCUGGAGAUUCACCAUAAACCUUAGCAUCAACUUGCUGAAGUGAAUAGAAAUGACAACAGAUUUCUCCUCAAUAGCAGUCAAAGCUUUAAGUCAAAUGACUAAGAUGUCAAGUAUUAAAUUGACAAUCAGUGAAUGUAUAAAAUCAUUUCCUUUCUGUUUAUACAGCAGAGCCUUCCAAUGCAUUUGAAAUCAAGCAUGGUAGACAAUUACCUACUUCAUGCCUAAUAUCUGGAAUGAGUCCCCUUUCAACUUGUCCCCUUUUGGGACCCCUCUUUGUGACAGUUCUUAAACAAUGUUUCUGACCUUCUUGCCUCUAUUCUUCAUUCUAUAGCCCCAAUUUACUCUUGCCUGCAACUUCACAUGUACUUGUGACCUCCUGCCCUAGUUAUAUUAAAAGCUGUCCCUCAAUUGUCUACUCUGACUUGGCAUCCAUUUUGUUCCUGUUAUUUUGUCCUGAUGACUCUAGCUCUCCUUAAAAUUUUUCAUAAAACUCACAUCUCUCUGCAUUAUUAUCUCUGAAUAAUGCACAUAAUUCAUGCCUUAGUUACCUGGCCCAGCUUCUCUCUUUUGCUGCUUGCAGCAUGCUAUAAAAAUGAUAGUUCUCUUGUAUUGCUCAAAAUCUGACUUAUAAUUUGUUGUUUGCAUCAAGAAUUUGCAAUCUCUACUGUCUUUAUUUCCACAGUAUCUGCAGAUUCUAUCACACCCACUCCCCUGAUUUUCCCAGUGCCAGUG
RNAcentral lists this long non-coding RNA (1344 nucleotides) under Homo sapiens (human). RNAcentral describes it as "HSALNT0042654". Lineage: Eukaryota; Metazoa; Chordata; Mammalia; Primates; Hominidae. The record is from RNAcentral.